Molecule: ribosomal RNA, 254 nt
Filed under: uncultured bacterium
Lineage: Bacteria
Description: partial 16S ribosomal RNA
Rfam family: Bacterial small subunit ribosomal RNA
Source: RNAcentral
UACAGAGGGUGCGAGCGUUGUCCGGAAUCACUGGGCGUAAAGGGCUCGUAGGCGGCCAACUAAGUCAGCCGUGAAAUCUCCAAGCUUAACUCGGAACGGUCAGCUGAUACUGCUGUGCUAGAGUGCAGAAAGGGCAAUCGGAAUUCUUGGUGUAGCGGUGAAAUGCGUAGAUAUCAAGAGGAACACCUGAGGCGAAGGCGGGUUGCUAGGCUGACACUGACGCUGACAGCGCGAAAGCUAGGGUAGCAAACGGG